CUAUGUACGGAAGGGAUAAGCGCUGAAAGCAUCUAAGCGUGAAGCCCCCCUCAAGAUGAGAUUUCCCAGUAUGUAAGACCCCUUGAAGACGACGAGGUAGAUAGGUUGGGGGUGGAAGUGCAGUAAUGCAUGGAGCUGACCAAUACUAAUCGGUCGAGGGCUUAUCCUAAA
Molecule: ribosomal RNA, 171 nt
Filed under: Paenibacillus polymyxa
Lineage: Bacteria; Bacillati; Bacillota; Bacilli; Caryophanales; Paenibacillaceae
Description: partial 23S ribosomal RNA
Rfam family: Bacterial large subunit ribosomal RNA
Source: RNAcentral